This 527-nucleotide ribosomal RNA is filed under the name uncultured bacterium. Its description in RNAcentral is "bacterial SSU rRNA". It matches the Rfam family "Bacterial small subunit ribosomal RNA", at positions 980 to 1509 of the family's 1533-position model. The record is from RNAcentral.
CUUGACAUCCAGAGAACUUGGCAGAGAUGCCUUGGUGCCUUCGGGAACUCUGAGACAGGUGCUGCAUGGCUGUCGUCAGCUCGUGUUGUGAAAUGUUGGGUUAAGUCCGCAACGAGCGCAACCCCUAUCCUUUGUUGCCAGCGAUUCGGUCGGGAACUCAAAGGAGACUGCCGGUGAUAACCGGAGGAAGGUGGGGAUGACGUCAAGUCAUCAUGGCCCUUACGAGUAGGGCUACACACGUGCUACAAUGGCGUAUACAAAGAGAAGCGACCUCGCGAGAGCAAGCGGACCUCAUAAAGUACGUCGUAGUCCGGAUUGGAGUCUGCAACUCGACUCCAUGAAGUCGGAAUCGCUAGUAAUCGUAGAUCAGAAUGCUACGGUGAAUACGUUCCCGGGCCUUGUACACACCGCCCGUCACACCAUGGGAGUGGGUUGCAAAAGAAGUAGAUAGCUUAACCUUCGGGAGGGCGUUUACCACUUUGUGAUUCAUGACUGGGGUGAAGUCGUAACAAGGUAAGCGUAGCGAG